This 459-nucleotide ribosomal RNA is filed under the name uncultured bacterium. RNAcentral describes it as "partial 16S ribosomal RNA". It matches the Rfam family "Bacterial small subunit ribosomal RNA", at positions 338 to 795 of the family's 1533-position model. The record is from RNAcentral.
CCUACGGGUGGCAGCAGUGAGGAAUAUUGGUCAAUGGGCGAGAGCCUGAACCAGCCAAGUCGCGUGAGGGAGUACUGCCCUAUGGGUUGUAAACCUCUUUUGUCGGGGAGCAAAAGCCGGACGUGUCCGGCUGUGAGAGUACCCGAAGAAAAAGCCCCGGCUAACUACGUGCCAGCAGCCGCGGUAAUACGUAGGGGGCAAGCGUUAUCCGGAUUUACUGGGUGUAAAGGGGGCGCAGACGGCGAUGCAAGCCAGGAGUGAAAGCCCGGGGCCCAACCCCGGGACUGCUCUUGGAACUGCGUGGCUGGAGUGCAGGAGGGGCAGGCGGAAUUCCUGGUGUAGCGGUGAAAUGCGUAGAUAUCAGGAGGAACACCGGUGGCGAAGGCGGCCUGCUGGACUGCAACUGACGUUGAGGCCCGAAAGCGUGGGGAGCAAACAGGAUUAGAUACCCGGGUAGUC